This 447-nucleotide ribosomal RNA is filed under the name uncultured bacterium. Its description in RNAcentral is "bacterial SSU rRNA". It matches the Rfam family "Bacterial small subunit ribosomal RNA", at positions 355 to 825 of the family's 1533-position model. The record is from RNAcentral.
UGGGGAAUAUUGGACAAUGGGCGCAAGCCUGAUCCAGCCAUGCCGCGUGAGUGAAGAAGGCCUUCGGGUUGUAAAGCUCUUUUACCAGGGACGAUAAUGACGGUACCCGCAGAAUAAGCUCCGGCUAACUUCGUGCCAGCAGCCGCGGUAAUACGAAGGGAGCUAGCGUUGUUCGGAAUCACUGGGCGUAAAGCGCACGUAGGCGGAUUAUUAAGUCAGGGGUGAAAUCCCGGGGCUCAACCUCGGAACUGCCUCUGAUACUGAUAGUCUCGAGUCCGGAAGAGGUGGGUGGAAUUCCUAGUGUAGAGGUGAAAUUCGUAGAUAUUAGGAAGAACACCAGUGGCGAAGGCGGCUAACUGGUCCGGUACUGACGCUGAGGUGCGAAAGCGUGGGGAGCAAACAGGAUUAGAUACCCGGGUAGUCCCUGAGCGGGCUGGCAAGGCGCAU